UACGUAGGGGGCGAGCGUUGUCCGGAUUUAUUGGGCGUAAAGAGCUCGUAGGCGGUUCACUAAGUCGGGUGUGAAACCUCCAGGCUCAACCUGGAGACGCCACCUGAUACUGGUGUGACUAGAGUCCGGUAGGGGAGUGUGGAACUCCUGGUGUAGCGGUGAAAUGCGCAGAUAUCAGGAAGAACACCAGCGGCGAAGGCGGCACUCUGGGCCGGUACUGACGCUGAGGAGCGAAAGCGUGGGUAGCAAACAGG
Molecule: ribosomal RNA, 254 nt
Filed under: uncultured bacterium
Lineage: Bacteria
Description: partial 16S ribosomal RNA
Rfam family: Bacterial small subunit ribosomal RNA
Source: RNAcentral